AUACGGAGGGGGUUAGCGUUGUUCGGAAUUACUGGGCGUAAAGCGUACGUAGGCGGAUCAGAAAGUAUGGGGUGAAAUCCCAGGGCUCAACCCUGGAACUGCCUCAUAAACUCCUGGUCUUGAGUUCGAGAGAGGUGAGUGGAAUUCCGAGUGUAGAGGUGAAAUUCGUAGAUAUUCGGAGGAACACCAGUGGCGAAGGCGGCUCACUGGCUCGAUACUGACGCUGAGGUACGAAAGUGUGGGGAGCAAACAGGAUUAGAAACCCGAGUAGUCC
RNAcentral lists this ribosomal RNA (274 nucleotides) under uncultured bacterium. Its description in RNAcentral is "partial 16S ribosomal RNA". It matches the Rfam family "Bacterial small subunit ribosomal RNA", at positions 523 to 796 of the family's 1533-position model. The record is from RNAcentral.